UGAUCAGAGUGCCGUCGCGCAUCUUUUUUCGCGCACCAUACCAAUUUGAAAAAUCGAUGAGGAUGCCAAAGAAGAAAUUUACUCCGAGAGCCACUUGGAUUGACCUUCAUUGAGAGUAAAACUUCCCCACACUAUAUUUUAUUAGAUCUGUAAAAACUUUAUCCAUUUUCUGACUAUCUGAUAAAAUAGAUACAAUUUCCCUGAAUAAUGGAUCGUCACAAAAGAUUUUUUUUUAAGGCCACUUCAUUAAAAUAGGUGUUUCCAGUACUUCCUCAUUUGGGUAUUUUACACAAAAUCUGGAUUUUUUUAUGUACAUGUCAUUUUUAUCAUCUGUCCCGCGCAACCAAACCAUCCACUUUUCCCGGUCACCAAUGUUCUUAACAAGAUAUCAAGAGAGAGAGGCUGGUCCAUUAUUUGCGUAGUCCAGCCAGCUUUUUUUUUUUACAACCUUUUUUCGUUCUCUCUCAUGAAGGAUAUGUUUUGAAAAUUAGUCUUACAAAAUACAAUUCCAAACCAACUCAUGCAGUUAUCGUCUUUUCACAGUAUUGAGGAGUCAUCCUUUUUGCUAGCCAGAGUGUUAAUUGGCAAAAGUGAAAAAUUCAUUUUCUUUAAUUUUUUAAAGUAAAUAUUCAUAACUAUAUCUUUUAUAUAAUAAUAUAUUUUUAAAAUAAUAAUCUUUUAUAUAGACAUGCUUUAAUAGAUCUAAUAAAUGAUUAACUCGGACCUACCAAUAUGGGUAUAUAAAUACUUAAAUCUGGGUAUUUAAAAUUUCGAAUGCGAAUUUUUAAAAAACCGAACUUAUAUUGAUCUAGAUCUCUUGUAUAAUAUCUAGAAUAAUAUAGAUCUACAACACCUAGGCCUAGACUAAAGUUAAAGACUAAGACUUCACUUUCACAUCACAUUCAGUCAUUCACACGAUAUUUGAUACAGACAGUGAAUGAAACGAAUGCAGUAGUUAUACUGAUUAUACUUAAAGUGACGAUACUACUUAUAGAUCUACCAGUUGAUAAACAUCAUCAUCAUAGAUAAUAAUCUACAUCUAUAAUCAUAGUGCCCUUUAUUUAGUCAAUAUAGUCAAGUCAAGGUAGUGGAAUGUAAACUCCAAGGUUUAAUACAAUAUGUUAUUAACAAGUAGAACCAUGGCAACCAGUUCUGAUGAUGUACCAGAAUGGCUCAAGGAUCAUACUUAUACUAUUUCUACUCUCUGGGCAUCCAUUCAAUAUUUAAUUUAUGUUUGGAAAUGCAAGAAAAAGGCAUGCAUUCCUGAAAAGUCAAUGAUUGGUUGCACCUCUUAAAAGUAAGAUAACUUUCUGUUAUGAGAAAAGAUGAGAUUCUUGGACUCCUGCAUAGCACCACCAGAAAGGAAAAUCCCAUCAUGUUGCAAAAUAAAAGUCUUGGACCAAUUUUAAUUUAAGAUAUAUAUAUUAUACUGUAAGCUGUAUACAUAUUUAUGUAUAUCCUGUCAUUCAGCCAACAGGUUUGGAUUUAGUAUUUCUUUAAAUCUGUUUGAUAUUGUACUUGAAAACUAUUAAUCUGAGCCCCAUUAAAACAAGAGGGAGUGCAGUGGAUGAGUGGUAAGGGAAAUUUUACUUUUUUUAAAUUAAAAUAAGAAUCUAACAAAAGUAAACAUAUAAAAUAUGGUGCAUUCUCCUUAAAACUAAAACCUGGUGCAAAGGUUUAAAAUGUUGGCAAAAAAAAAAAGCAACAUCAAUUAAAUAUUCUUAAUUCCCUUUGCAAAACUUACUGAGAAGAACAUGCA
Molecule: long non-coding RNA, 1759 nt
Organism: Biomphalaria glabrata
Lineage: Eukaryota; Metazoa; Mollusca; Gastropoda; Planorbidae
Exons: 5
Source: RefSeq, a predicted model, not a curated record